AGGCAGGCCUUUGGUAAAUGGAAAAUUUGCAUUUUGGUCCUCCCAAUAAUUAAAAUUUCAAUUUAAGACUUUUAACGCAAAAUUCAUGUCUUCCCACUGCAUACAAAAAUCCGGGUACCUGAGAAAGAUGAUGCCAUUUGCCCAAGUUCCCGAAAUGUCGUAAAACUACAUUCAAAUCUUGCGGCUUUAAAAUCCCACCGAGUUCUUGAAGUGAAGAGCUCAAAUUAGAAGAUUGUUGGAGCUGAAGAAGAGCAGAUUGUCUUUUUAAGUAAGACUUGGAGUGAGGACGAGUGGGGUUGGGUUCUUUAAAGGGAGUUGCUGGUGGUGGUGCAGAGGUGAGAUUAGUGAAGCUGGCUCUUGGGGUGGGAUAGGAUAUUGAAGGAAUUGUCGGAAAAGAAGAGGGUAAUGGAUGGAUGAUAAAAUGGUGAUGAAACUGAAACCUGUUUGUACUAAGAAUCGACGAUAUCUCCAUUAUAGAGAGUUUUGUUCUUCUUAAUUUUAUUUUAUCAGUGUUGCUUCGGUUUUCAACGUUUUUAAAAGAUAGUUGACGUCCGGUAUAGUUCAUGGGCCGGCCGGGUCAGGUGAAGACCCGAUUCAAAAAAAUCUUUAGGCCCGAACUCAAGCUCAGUCCUCUCGAGUCCACUUAAAUGAUCCAUUCUACUGAAGAAAGGGUAAAUUUCAUCCAAGGUCACCAAACUAUUAGUAAGUUUACGUUUUGGUCACUCGACUUCAAAAAGUUACAAAAUGGUCAUUGAACUUUUUGAAAGUUUUCAUUUAAGUCACUAGGCUGUGAAACUCGAUGUUUUAUGGCCUUCUUCAUUCACAACACUUGCGCCAAUCAAAAACUCUUCUUCUCUUUCUCUUCUAAAGUUAAAUUUUUUUCUCAUGAAAUAGUUUUAAACGUCACGAAUUUCUAAAUCAAAAUCCAAAAAACUUUCUUUUCUUAUCUCUAACACUUACGGUCAGAUGGACUUCGAUGUAAGAUAUGUUUCUUUAAAUCGUAUCGAUCGUCAAGUCGUCACUUUAAGCCUACUAACCGAACUUAAAAAAAAAAAAAACUUAUCAUCCUAGUAACUUAUAUAAAAACUUUUGAACAGUUCGGUAACUUAAAUAGAAACUUUCAAAUAGUUCAUUUUGUAAAUUUUUGAAGUUGAGUGACUUAAACAUAUUACUAAUAAUUUAGUGACCUGGAGGUAGUUUACCCUAAAAAAUAAAAAAAAAAUAUUUUUAUUUGAAUUUAAUUUAAAAUAUAUAAAUAUUAAUAAAAAUAUUUUUUAUUUUUAUUAUUUUUAAAUAAUAAGUGGUUGAACUGGGUUGAAGUUAAAAACUAUAAGCUUUAAUCUUAACUCAAAAUUGGAUCGAUCGAAUAAGAUACUUAAACUCGACUUGACUUGUUCAACUCAUGAACACAUCUAUCAAAAACUAACUAUGAUCGAAUAUAACCAGUUGGCUCGAUAACCCUUUUUUAUUUUAUAUUGAUAGUUUAUGUUGGUUUAUAAAAUUAUUCACUUUACUUGUUCAAGCUUCAAAAAUUUGAAGAAUUUGAAUAAAAAUAUUAUGUUUGAAAAAUGAAUUUUGAAAAAGAAAAAUUUAUCCCCCGUGUAAUAGUUGGAUGCAGCUUAUUUUGAAUUUAGUGGAAGAUCAAUAUAAUUAAACAAUAAAAAAAUUUAAAAAAAGGUUAAAUUAUGCUAUUAAUCUCUAUAAUAUGUAAACGUUAUGGAUUUAGUCUAUGUACUUUAAUAUAGUCAUUUUUAGUCUUUGUAAACAUAUCAUCACAUGUGUAAUAUCAUGUUAGCUUGUUAUUUCCCCAUAUUACUCACUAAAAAUCCUGAUAAUGAAUGAGUAUCAUUUGCGUCAAUAUUGAAAUUUUAAAAUUUAAAAAGUAUAGGGACUUAGUAUGAUCCAACUGGAGAAUAUGAACUAAAUUUACAACUAUAUGCGUAGUACAGGAUUAGUAAUUAAAUUUAACCAGAUAAAUUUAACUGCUACUGUUUGAGUCAGAACUUUCAAAAUUAGAAAAGUAUGGAGACUGAAAUUGAUCAAAUUAAAGCAUAAGGGUUAAAUCCGCAAUUUUCAUGAAGUACAUAGACUAAUAGCUGAAUUUAACUUUGAGGGAGGGUGGAAUCAGAUGCGUUAUUCAAGUCAUUUUAAUAUAUUCCGCUUAAAACAAAAAAAGUUCAUAAUUUCAACAUCUUCAAUUAGGUCCAAACUACUAUUAACUGACCCUUUUAAAUCCUUAAUCGUUAAUCGAACUAAAUUUUUUAAAAAAAAAAAAUUCGACCAAACUUUUUCGGUUAAUUCGGUGGUUAAUCGAAAUUUAUAUGUUUUUUUUGUUAAAAUAAGUAUAAAACAUAUAAAAAAUUAAUUGAAUUAAACGACCAAUUAAUUUAUACUUCCAAAGAAUUAACCGAACCGACCGAAUAGUUAUAUAUUAUAAUAUUAUUUAUUAAGUUCGGUUAAUUUAGUUAACUGACCAGUUUUAAAUCGAAUUAACCAUUAACCGAACUUCUAAAAAAUUAUUAACUGACUCCGAUCAAAUCAAUUCGAUUAACCGACCAAUUAACUAAAUUCGAUCGGUUAAUCAAAUUAAUUCAAUUUUAACUGAAAUUCGAACACCCUUAUCAUCAACCAUUCAAGGCAGACGAAUCAUUCAACGGCAUCGAUUACAAGUUUAGUUAGCGAUCUUAUGGCUAGUGCUGAACCGCUACUACACCAGAUAAUUAUCUGUUGUUAGUCGUGGAAGAAGCAAUUACCUUAAACUGGCAAUAGCAAAAUCACAGCAACAAAUUUCACACUGAACCGACUCAAAGUCCAUUUUUUUUUGCCUUCUAGAAAACUAAUCUCCUGACCCGUGGUGAUGGAGGAGAAACGCCGGGACGCGGGGAACUCACCGGCUGGACCGAGCUCAGCCGAGCUGGAGCCGGCAACAACUCGCCGUCGAGCUGGAGCACAAAAGAGGAAAGCUAAUUCUCUUUCCGGGUCCAGCUCAUCAUCGACGCCGUCGAAACGGGCUACACGGGAGAAGUCAUCUAACUUGAUCUCCCACUCUUCGAUCAACCAUAACGGUCCUUUAACUAGGGCUCGCCAAGGAGCGCCUAGUGGAAACCUAGCCUUGGGUUUGGGCUCGGGAUUCGGUGGCGCGAAGCUUGAGGAGAGGAUUUUGGUUAAAGAGAGUGUGAAGGCUGAAGAUUUGGAGGAAUUGAAUAAGGCAAGUGAAGAGUUGGAGGCUUUGGAAGCUAAGAUUGAAGCUGAGUUUGAAGCUGUUAGGUCUCGUGACAGUAAUGCGCACGUGGUUCCUAAUCAUUGCGGUGAAUUUUCGUUUUCUUUGUUUGUUUGCUGGGAAAAAAUGGGUACGAAAGGGGAGGGAAAUCGAAGAUUUACUUUUAGAACUUAAGUGAGCUGAAUUUCUUCUUUGGGGAGCUAGUGAAUUGGUGAAAUUAGAUUGAACUUUUUUCCUGUUGAUUUAGAAGUUAAAUUCAGUUUGACUUGAAUCUUAAUUAAAUGGAAACAGGGAAAAAAAUAGUGAGUUCUUAAGUUUUAUUGAGUGCUUAAAUAGAGAGUUUUCUUUCUUUAUUUGUUUGGACUUAUAUGAUAUUAUGAAUGCUGCGAUAAUGUCCUUAUAUAAUAAGGAUUUUAUUAUGUUUAUUUGCUUGAGAGUGCUUUCAUUCAACUGUAGUCUUAAAUGUCAAUGCGGUUUGAAUGGUUGCUAUUCAUACAUUUGAUCGGUAAACAGAAAGAUUUGAAAUGGAUGAAAUGUGAAAAUGUUAAUUCUUUUUUAAAUUCUUUAAUAUUAUGGUUUUCUCACAAGGAAAUGAUAAUAAGUAUUCGGGACAGUUUCUUGUGCUCACAUUUUUCAUUAACAGAGUGCAGACCAGGGCUCUGAAUAAAUUGGCUUUCAUGGAAGCCUCUUAAUUUGAUGUUGUAAAUAUUGAAGAAAAUGAAAUAUUAGACUCUUUGGUGUUUGAUAUUGUUGUCAAUUUUGGUCUUCAUCCUUUUUUGUACUCACAGGAUGGUUUUCAUGGAAAAAAGCUCACCAUGUGGAGGAAUGUAUAUUACCUUCAUUCUUUAAUGGGAAAUCCCCAGUGCGUACCCCUGAUGUGUACUUGGAGAUACGUAAUAGCAUUAUGAAGAAAUUUCAUGCAAAUCCGAGUGUACAAAUUGAGUCUAAAGAUCUGCCAGAUAUUGAAGUUGGCGACUUGGAUGCAAGGCAGGAAGUACUGGAGUUCUUGGACUACUGGGGUUUGAUUAACUUUCAUCCAUUCCCUCCAGGUGAUUCUGCCGUGGUCAGUGCUGAUGGUGAUUGUGACGGGAUAGCGAAAAAGGAUUCUUUGCUUGAAAAUUUGUUUCAUUUUGAGGUGAUUGAAUCGCGCCCAUCAGUUGUUCCCAAAGCUAACCUUUCAACUCCAUCUAUGCCAUCUGGGUUUCUUCCAGAGUCUGCAGUUCUUGAUGAUUUGUUGAGACUUGAGGGACCAUCUGUUGAUUACCAUUGCAACUCUUGUUCAGCUGAUUGCUCUCGGAAGCGCUACCAUUGCCAGAAGCAGGUUCGUGAAUAGUGACUUGACUAAUAAGUCUUAACCUUAAAAUAUUUAGUGCACUAUGCAAGAGAAUAACUGCACCAAUUAUGUCUGUUCAGGUUCUCCCUAUGUUGUUAUUAAAUCAUGCCUGGGUGGAAUUGAUAUAUGUAUUUUGUAUCUACAUAUGCAUGUUAUAUUCAGUUUUAUGUUCCUAAGAGAGCAAGAGGGAAUUCUACCAAUUUAUGCAUCUUCUGUUUAGGCCAAACGGUAACGAAAAAUCCACAAGCCUUUCCGCUUCUCAUCCGACUGUUGUAGAAAUAGGUUUUCAGCAUGUAAGAAAUCAACAUGAAUCUUUUGCACCAUCUGUACAAUUUGUUCUAUGUUUGAUGCUCUACUUGCAACAAUAAUGUAAUGAGCUUUGAAGCUUUGUAUGAAUUGGAUGAUCACAAUGGCAAACGUAACUAAUUUAGUAAAUUGGUUUAUGUUUAUUUAUCGACUUAUUCUUACAUUUCUUUAUGAUGCUAACUAUGUUUGUAUUUGACAGGCAGAUUUUGACUUAUGUACUGAUUGCUUUAACAACCGGAAGUUUGGCUCUGGCAUGUCUUCUUCUGAUUUUAUUCUCAUGGAGCCUGGUGAGGCCUCUGGCCUUAGCGGCGGGAAGUGGACAGAUCAGGAAACUCUCCUUCUUCUCGAGGCACUAGAACUUUAUAAAGAAAACUGGAAUGAGAUUGCAGAGCAUGUUGCGACAAAAACCAAAGCUCAAUGCAUACUGCACUUUCUUCAAAUGCCAAUUGAGGAUGUAUUCUUUAAUUCUGAUGAUAAUAUAGACACUAAUUCCAAAGAAACAUCUGCACCUGCUGUAGUGACUGAUGAAACAUCUGUCCCUAAAGAUGUCUCUGAAGCAACAGAGACUAAGACUACUUCUCAGGAAGAUCAGGUUCCUCAAGAGGACCAGACCCAGACUACGCCCAUGGAUGCUUCAAAACCUGAAGAUGAGAAAGAAAAGAGAGAGAGUGAGGAAAUGUCAAAACCUGAAACAGGAACCGACAUAAAAUGUGCUCCAGAAACAUCAAAGCCAGAAGAAAUGGAUGAAGCAAAAGAUGGACAAGACACCAAAGAAAAUUGUGCAAUUAUGGCUCUAAGGGAGGCAUUCGAAGCUGUUGGUUAUAAUUUAACAUCUGAGAGUACACUCUCAUUUGCUGAUGUGGGAAACCCCGUCAUGGCAUUGGUGAGUUGCAUAUCAGGGAACCAUGUAUUUGUGUUUGAAUAAUUUUUAAUGGCUUUAUCAAGUUUGAUUCAAAUCAGAAGGCAUGUACAUGGCUUUAUUUCAAUGUGCUAAAUAAGCUGAUUGGAAAAGAUUGAGGACAUGACUUGAUGUGGUCCUACUUAAACACUUUGACCUGAUUUCUUAACCCCCAAAGAUGUUAGUCUUUUGAUUCUAUUUAUGUGUCUGUUUAUAUAUAUAUUUUAAUGAAAUUGGUGCCAAGCGUCCUUGGAUUUACAUUCAUAUUUUCCAUGCUUGGUCAUAAAUGAAGGACAGAACCACAAAAUGCUGCAUUUUGCUUUUUCUGCUCCAUUGCAGUAGCUUUUUCAAGGUCUUUUUCUGAAUCCACUUCUUUGUGAAUGAUUGUUAUGCCAUACAAAGUCCUUUAUCUUAUGCUCAUGCUAUACUUAAUGAUGAACAAUCUUCAUUGCUUCAGUCUAGAUGUUUUGCUUCAAGUAGACUUUGCAGCUUUUCUCUUGACAUAUUCCACUUUUCAUUAUUUUCAUCUAUCGAUUUGGUUUGAUAUGUUACAACUAAUUUUACUUCCUCUGCAGGCAGGAUUCUUUGCACGCCUUGCUGGGCCCAAAAUUGGUGCUGCUUCAGCACAGACUUCACUGAAAGCAUUAUCUGGUAGUUCUCCCAACAUUCAACUGGCUGCAAGGAACUGCUUUCUUUUGGAAGAUCCACCAGAUGACAAGAAGGAACAAACUGGUUCUGAGAGGUAUGUAAACCUUUUCUCAAGCUUAUAUUUCCUUGCCACUUUGUGGCUCUUAUAUCUGAUGUGAGUUAGAGUUUGGCAGUGUUGUCAAUGAUGCCGGUAAUCAGGAUGCUCAGAAUGUCGAAAAUUCAGAAAACAAAAGCCUCAAGGAGGACAAGUCCACCCCAGUUUUGGAUCAGAAAAGUUCAUCGAGCAACCAUGCAGACCAAAAUGCUGAAACUUCUCUUCCUGAAGAAAAGGUGACAUCAGCUUCACCUAAUUGCCUAUCCACUGAUAAGAAAGAGCCAGGUACUUCUGCAACCAGUAAGGAAGCUAAAAAGGCUAAUCAAUCAAAAGAUCAUGAACCAGGUGUAAUGAGGGGAUCAGAUAACUUGGCAUCCCAGGUUCCACGAAGUUCUGCGGAGGAGACUGGUGGGAAGGAAACCUCAGCACAAGAGUCUUCUCAACGAACAGAGGUUGUGAAGGAAGUAGAAAUGUCCGAGUCUGUUCCAUUAGAAAAGAAUGAGCCUUCUGAUGCAGCUGCAUCAGAGCCAGUGGCAGAGCUAUCUGAACCAACAGAGGCAUUGAAAAAUGUAGAGACGGUUUCUGGCUCUCCAUCUGGAGCAAAGAAUGAGCAACAACCAGUUAAAUCAAGUUCUGGUGGAGAGAUUUCUCAGCCUACAAAGGCAUCAAAUGAUAUAGAAAUGGUGUCUGAUUCACAGCCAUCAGAAAGGAGUGAACCUCAGCAACCAGUCACAUCUAAUUCAGUAAAUGAAAAUGGAACAAUCACAGGUUUCUCUGCUUUUUCCCUUGAACUUUUUGUUCAGAAGCUGAUUGUACUGAAAUUUUAAGUAAUAUUUUGUGGGAAUACAUAUAAAUAUUUCGCGAGUCAGAUUGAAAAUAUACAUGGAGGGCUAGAUGCAAUAAUUGGUCCUAUAAGGUUAAGCAUAGCAGCUUGGAAAUUUGAAUUUUGAUACAGAGCAAUGUCUUUAUGGUGUCUACUAAAACAUAAAAAGUUUAUUAUAAAAACUGCAUUUUGGAAAAACGGGUACUUUUUAUCUUCUCAUUUUUCUUAUUAUUCUUGGCAGAUGUGAUUAAAGAAGGUAAAAGUGAGAGCCAUACCUCUACAGAAACAAAAGAUGAUAGUAGCAUUGACAAAGUAAAGCGUGCUGCCGUAACAGCACUCUCAGCAGCUGCAGUGAAGGCCAAACUUCUUGCAGACCAGGAAGAGGAUCAAAUCCGGCAACUUACAACAUCAUUAAUAGAAAAGCAGGUAAUUUAGUUGCAAAAGCAAAUGCAGACUCCUUUUAAGAUUUACACAGCUGGAGCAAAAAUUUGAGUUCUUUGAGGCUUUAAUUCAAUGCAGUUUUCUAAGAUGGAAGCCAAAUUAGGUUUCUUCAAUGAAAUGGAGGGUCUCAUGAUGAGGGUAAAAGAGCAAUUAGACAGAUCAAGGCAAAAGCUUUACCAUGAACGAACUCAAAUUAUUGCAGCUCGACUGGGCCUACCAGCUUCCUCCUCUAGAGCAAUGCCACCAGCAAAUACCGCAAAUAGAAUUGCAACCAACUAUGCAAAUUCAGUCGCAAGGCCUCCGAUGAGAACAACUGCCGCAAGACCACCAAUGUCAAGACCUAUGGGGCCUAUGGCUCCUACCUCAUCCAACCCAUUUGUAUCUACAACAGUUGCAGGAAGUUCAAUCCGGCGUGCUAGCCAAGACAACCUUUCUUCAGUCAGAACAAAGUAGUCUCUUUUACUUGUGAAUAGAAUUUGUCAUCCAUUCUUAUACGACGGUCACCAAUCAUGAGGUUUUGCCAGGUGAGUACCUCUUUCGCUUAAGUGUUGCCAUUCGUUUCAGGAACUUUUAAGAACUUAAGAUGUUUCCCUGUGAUAGUUACAGCGCCAGCAUCAAGAGCAUUGACUAUCUCCAACCGACCAAAUGGAGCUGGAAUCUCAUUGUCUUGGGAGGAAGGAGCAGAUGGUUAUUGUUCUCCCUUCGUCCCUACUCGAGUUAAAAACGUUUAAGUCAUCUAACCUGCAAUUUUUUUUACUGUGUCUGGAAUUUUGUAAGGAUAAUAGGUAGUUUGGGUACUCUUGCUGAAUUUAGUGCAAAAAUUAAACAUUCAUGUAGCCUUGGUUACAGAACUCUUUGGUUGUCUUAAGGUGCAAGUGUGGCUGAUGUAACCCAUGUAAUCUAUUAAUGUUAUGAUAUUUUAAUGUUAUAAAUGAUUGUAAAUCUUUGGAUUGGACCUCCUUUCAUCUCUGCUGUUCUCUAGAAACUUUUAAAAAGCUCCCUGUUUUCAUGAACUUGAUCUUUUAGGUGAAAUGCUUGGCUCUAGGGGCAGAGUGUUUGAUCUUAAUUGAGUUGAAGAGUUUAAAUCGAGUUGAAUAACUUUUUUCGAGUUUAACAUAAAUUUGGAAUUAUAUAUUUAUGAACUCUUUCAAAGCAAAAUAAGAUAACUUAGUAUAAUAAAUUUGAUUUGGUAAUUUUGUGUAUUUAAGGCUUUAAAUUUAUUAUUUAUCAUUUUUUAUUUUUUAAAAUUAAAUAUCUUUUAUAAAAUUUUGAGACUUCUAUAAAUAUUUUUGAAAUUUUGAAGAUAGUUUUGAAAUUUUGUAGAUUUUAUAAAAGGAUCAAUUUGCCAAUUUCAAAAAUUGCGAAGAUCUAAUGAGUUUUUACAUCAAUUUAUUAUUUGCAAUCAAUUCAAACUUGAAAAAUUGAAUAAUCCAAAUAAUUAGAUUUAACUAAUUUAAAAUUAAAAGAAAAAUAAUUUUUUUUUAAAGUUAAAUAGUGUUUCUCAUUCAUAUAUUUAGAUUUUCUUUAUUUCCUAAUAAAAAAUUUAUAUUUAAUGCAAAGAUCGUAUAUAUAAGUUUAUACGUCGUAAAUAAAUCACAAGAAGUCACUUAUUAAAAAAAUAUAAUAAGAAUCAUUUAUCUUUAAUGUGUUUAAAAUUUAUGUAUUAAUUUUUUCUAAAAAACUAUUUAUUAAUUUUUUGAUUAUGCAUUUUAAUAUGACAAUCUGAUAAUGAUAUUGUAAUUAUCCACAAGAUAAAAUGAAAUAUUCAUUAUAAUAAGAGUAAGAUAAAUUAUAGAAGUAGUAUACUAGAAGGGCUCAACAGGUAUGCUAUUUAGUAGAUAAAUAUCUUUAUUAUAUGCAGUUUUAAUUGCAUUUUUAUUAAAUUUAAAAUGGUUUUUAUAUAAUAAUAAUAAUAAUUCUCUUACGAAAUAUAUCAAUAUAAUCCCUAGGAUUCGCGUGGGGAUUUUUUAAUAAAAAAUAAUUUUUAAAAUGAAACCAUAAUAAUUCUAAGAAAACGAAUAAUAUUAAAAUGAAACUAAAACAAUUACUAAAUUUAUAAUUUUUUUAAAAAAUAGAAAUAUAUUUCCAAAUUUUGUUAAAUUAAAUUAUUAUUUUCAACUAUUACCAUUUUUAAUAAUUAAUUAAUUUGUUUUUAACUAUUAAAAAAGGGUAAACUAUAAAAUUGAUCACUUAUGUUUAUGUAAAUUUACAUUUUGGUCACUGAACUUUAUUAAAUUAUUUGACUACUAAAAACUAUUUAAAAAAAAAAAGAGAGAAGAAAUUCAUGUUUGACUGACUAUUUUACUUCAGGGACUAGAUCAGUAAUUUACCUCAAAGUGAAAGAAGUGAAAUCUUAACGUGACCCUUUCUUUUUCUUUUCUUUUAUUAUUAUUUAUUUCCUUUUUUAUUUUAUUUUAUUUUAUUUUAUUAUUACUAUUUAAUUUUUAAUAUAAAUAAAAAUAGAAGCUUAAAUUUAUAUAUUACAAAGUCUUCCGAUUUACUUGAGACACUUUUUUUUUUAUAUAUAUUACAUAAAAUAAAAUAUUAUAUUAAUAAAUUAGUUUAUUACCAACGUAAUAAAAUAUAAAACCAUUAAUCAAAACUUAUCUACUAAAAUAAAUAGACAGAUUAUAAUAUGACUCCUCAAGUAACCUAUUUCUUGUUGUACAAGUAAUGGUGGGCUUAUAUAUCAUCUUACGUGUACUUCCAUGUUGAACUAACAAGAUUAGAAAGCAGUUCUUAAAAGUCGGCACUCUACCGACAAAACAGAGACAGAGAUUACGAUAUUGCGCAGACACAAAACAGAGUGAGAUUACGGCAACAAAAACAAAGCAACGAUGUCGAUUUCUAGCAAUAAGUCGAUCGUUGUGAGACGAGUGUUUGCUGAAGAUUUGGACAAUGAACUCUGGUUGAUUAAGGUAGCAAUUUUGAGGUAUCCUUUUGUAUUUAUGGAUACUGAAUUUCCGGGGACGAUUUUUAAACCAAGUAAGCAAGUGGUUUUUGAAGACAAUCCCGUUAUUAAUUAUCAUUAUAUGAAGUCGAAUGUUGAUGCGCUUCAAAUUAUUCAGCUCGGCUUGAGUCUUUCGGAUGCUCAAGGUAAUUUGCCGGAUUUUGAUUCUCCCUUUUGUUAUGUUUGGGAAUUUAAUUUUAAAGAUUUCAAUAUCAACCGAGACCACUAUGCUAGCACUUCGAUCGAGCUGCUCAAACGUCAAGGAAUAGAUUUUGAGAAGAAUAAAGAGAAGGGGAUUGAUUCUAGAGAUUUUGCAAAGAAGCUUUGGGAUUACGGUUUGGUUUUCAAUUGUUAUGGUCUGAAUGGUAUUACUUGGAUUACUUUUCACGGUGCUUAUGACUUUGGAUUCAUGCUAAAGAUGCUUACUCAAAGUCCAUUGCCUUUGGAUCUUCACUCAUUCGUGCAUCAAUUGGCUUAUUUCUUUGGCUACAAUGUUUUCGACCUCAAACACACAUUCAAACUAUUAGGGUUGCUGGGUGGUUUAGAGAAAAUAGCUCAAACAUUAAAAGUAACUCGUAUUGUCGGAUCAAGUCAUCAAGCCGGGUCGGACAGUCUACUCAUGCUUCAAUGUUUUAUGAAGCUCAAGAGUAAGAAAAUUUUUGAAUCUGGAUGGAAUGAGGCGAAUCAAAUACUACUGACUCCUCUAGCAUUAUACGGGCUAGUUCAAAUCAUAGGAUGAAAUAUUAUACUCUCUUUUAUGUCUCUUUUGAUUAGUGACAUAAAAGCAAUGUUAUUGAAGAUAUUACAUUAAUAUGUUUCCAAAACUAUAAUCUCCUACUUGAUGAUUUUUUUUAGCUGUGUUCAGUUUUUUCCUUUAUGACUUGUGUGGAAUUUGAAGCUUCAUUAUGAUGGGUUUUAUGUAUUUGCUUGGAUAUUCAAAACAUGAAAAAGAUGCAUUACAUACGUAAUCAUAAAUUGGCAGAGUAACAUAUCAGUAAUGUUUAGGUGCUUUCCAUGGUGCUGGUGUUUUAGCUGUAUAUUAUUAUGGGAUAUUAUAUUUAGGAAUAUAUUAUAUAUUUUUCCAUAUAUUUAGGUAUAUAUCUCUUUUCUAUGCCUAAGUAACUACUGUUAUAAUGUCUAUCAAGAAAAGAAUCCCUAUUCUGGUCAGUCCUCCAUAUUUGAUUUACAUUCAAUAACAAGCCUUUCAAGGCUUCCAAUUUGAGUAAUAAGAUAGUGAUGAAACUUUUAAAAGCAGCUGAAAGGUGCAGAGGAAACAGGGGAUAAUCUUUGUUUGGAACAGCUGAAAGGUUUCCAAUUCGAAAGUGCUGAAUGUUAUGUUUGCAGAACUACUUUAUGGUUUUUAACUUAAAUAUGUUCCUCUGCCCCACUCUUUAGAGCAUCCUUCGCUAUGCAUUGGAAAGCUUCUUCCACGUUAACACUCGGAUUUGUACACUAUGAAAAACGUACAUAUAUCUUUGUAUGCAUAAAUUGAGCAUCCUUCGCUAUGAAAAACGUAAUAGGAUUAUGAAGAAAUUUCAUGCAAAUCCGAGUGUACAAAUUGAGUGCCAGAUAUUGAAGUUGGCGACUUGGAUGCAAGGCAGGAAGUACUGGAGUUCUUGGACUACUGGGGUUUUAUUAACUUUCACUGAAAGCAUUAUCCGGAAGUAUUGAACCACUUUGUGGCUCUUAUAUCUGAUGUGAGUUAGAGUUUGGCAGUGUUGUCAAUGAUGCCGGUAAUCAGGAUGCUCAGAAUGUUGAAAAUUCAGAAAACAGAAGCCUCAAGGAGGACAAGUCCACCCCAGUUUGGGAUCAGAAAACUUCAUCCAGCAACCAUGCUGACCAAAAUGCUGAAAUUUCUCUUCCUCAAGAAAAGAUGACAUCAGCUUCACCCAAUUGCCUAUCCACUGAUAAACAGCACUCUCAGCAGCAGCAGUGAAGGCAAAACUUCUUGCAGACCAGGAAGAGGAUCAAAUCCGGCAACUUACGACAUCAUUAAUAGAAAAGCAGGUAAUUUAUUUGCAAAAGCAAAUGCAGACUCUUUUACUUGUGAAUAGAAAUUGUCAUCCUGAAUCCUUAAAAAUUAAUCAAUUUUACUUUUUUUACUUUUCCAAUUCUAAAAUUCCAACCAUUAUCCAAAGAUAACAAUUGAAUCCAUUUGGUUAAAUUCCGGCAUUAGUCAUGUAUUAAGCAUAAUCGGGUCAAUCUUAUUCCCUAUCAUUUUCGAAUUUGAAAAUUUCAAUAACGACAAUCGUUAAAUUCAUUAUCUAACUUUUUUUUUAGUAUGUAGAAAUAGAAACUAACAUGGUUUCACAUAUGUGAUAAUAUCUCUGUCAAAUCAGAUUUUUGGGAAGAUUGAAGUUUAAAAACUCGAAAACUAUAAGACUUAAAAUUGGUUGAAUUAAAGCACAAGAACUAAAUCCACAACUUAAUAAUAAAAUUUAAUUAAAUUCAAAAGUACUAAAUAUAUAUGUUUGCGAUAGUAAAACUAAUUAUGAUUUUUUUAACUUCAUUAUGCAUUGAAGGAUCUUAAUUAGAAGUGUUCGUGGGCUAUGCCAAAGUUCGAUAUCAAAAAAAUUUGCCUAGCUUAACCCAACUUGUCCAAAAAGCAUACACUUCUUCUAAAACUAAUAAAAUAACAAAAGAAUAUAUUUUAUAUUAAUAUUUAUAUAUUUUAAUAAUUAAAUUUUCGUUAAAAUAUUUUUAAAAAUCAUUUAAUUUAAACUUGAGUUAAUCCAGCUAGACCCGAAGACAAAAAUUCAUUGUUUAAGCUCAACCCAAAUCAAUUGAAUCAAAUAAAAUACCCAACUCAUGAAUAGGUCUAAUAUUAAGCUCCCAAAAAGUUAGGAGGUUAAAAUAUUAUAAUGAUAAGUUAAAUUGGAAGAAAUUUAAAAAAGAGAGCAAGACAAUUUUAAAAUGUUUUAUACUAGAAAGGUUUGAGACGGUUUAUUAUUUAGUCGAUAAAACACCCCCAAAACAAUAACGUUAACCUGUUGAAUUUGUAAUUAAGUUAUCAUUGCGGAAUGUAUAGGGUAGAUGUCUUUGAUGAGACAAUGACGUCUAUUAUGGGAUAUAUCCUAUCAUUCAUUCUGAUACAAUGUACAGAGCCGUUGAAAGAAAAACCCUGACCCCUAAGCUGUCAACUUACCCUCGACACUUAACAUUCAAACUCUCUCCACGUCUACCCUUUAUAAUUUCCGACUCUUCACAACACUUCACCCUGAUUGAUACCACCACAUCUUCCUCACAACACUUGAUUGAUACCACCACAUCUUCCUCAGUACUCUUUCCUUAUUAUAUCAUUGCAUCAACGCCUAAGUAAAUGGAUAAAUCAUGGAAAAAAUGGACCAAAUUUUAGUAGCCGAUUGGAUUGAUUUCACAAAUAUUCGAUGAUUUUAGAAUAGUUUUCACAAGCUGCUAAGCUGAGAUUGGGUUUUCUUUUAUAAAUAAUGUUCAUUUUACGGACAAUGAAAAUUAAUUCUUCCACAAGAUAAUCUUAGUUUGAAAUUAUGAAAUAUACCAUAAAAUGUACUUUAAAAACAAUGCGUAGGCAGUGCAGAACAAAAAACAAUGUUUACAAAUGAGAACAUUACAGAACUAAAUCCAGCCAAACCAAAAGCAUUAACAGACCUUUUUUUUUUCUCACACCAACACCAUGAAUCCCAUAAAAUGGUUGGGAAACACCAAAUCAUUCGAAACAUUUUAACCGUACUUAUUGGCGGAACAGGAAAAAAUAAUGAACAUGCAUGAUAUCUUUCAACAUUCGCAUCCGCUUGACCUUGGUUGGCUGCUGCUGCUCCCAACAUCUAUGGUGUCGGGCAAGUAUCUUCAUGAACGAAAACAAAAACAUGAAAAAAUAAGAAAGUAUUAACAUGACUGAAAAUGUUCAAAAAUUAAUUAAUGCAAGUUUAAGAGUUAAAAAAACAAAAAAUUAAAUGGAGAGCUAAAAUGACAUUUUUUUGUAAAGUUUGAGGGCCAAAUAAGUCAUCAUGCUAAAAAUAAAUUCACAAACUAAACAGUCUGCAACUAUGUGUCCUCAAUAUUAAAUAUUGCCAUGCAAAUAUUGCUACUUCCCGGUUUGAGAAUGUACAAGCUAAACCAUUGUAUUGCAUAUCUAUGUGUAGCAAUUGAUUGGUGUUACCGAGGGCUUUUUUUUCAUAAUUCGAAAGUGCUGAAUGUUAUGUUUGCAGGAGUAGAACUACUUUAUGGUUUUUAACUUACAUGUCUUCCUCUUCCCCACUCUUUAGAGCAUCCUUUGCUAUGCAUUGGAAAGCUUCUUCCACGUUAACUCCUUCCUUGGCAGAUGUCUCGAAAUAGGGGAUAUUUCCUUUCGAGGCACACCAUGCUCGGGCCUUUUUCAAAGACACCUAGAGAGUCAAAACAAUGUGGAUAAUUGUAUCUUUUAGGAAGAAAGAGAAUAUCAAGUGACACUGUAAAGGAAGAAUUGAAAAAUACAUACCACUCUACUGUUUCCACCAUCAACAUCGAUUUUGUUCCCCAAAACAACAAACGGGAAAUUCUCAGGAUCCGAAGGGCUUGCCUGCAAGGUUUCUCAAAUUGUCAUUUCUCUACUGAAUAAAUCCCAGAGAGUUGAUAGAUGGUUUUCAUCUGUAUUCAGAAGUUCAGAAUAUAUACCUGAAUAAGGAAUUCUUCUCUCCAGUUGUUAAGGUUGUCAAACGAUUUCAUUGAGUUGACAUCAUAUACAAGAACACAACAAUCAGCACCGCGAUAGAAAGCAACACCUAGGCUCUGGAAUCUUUCCUGGCCAGCUGUGUCCCAGAUCUGAGGGGGAAAAUCGAUGAAUUUUGAGCUAAGUGGUCACUCAAAUAACACAAAAAGGCUAAAAGAAAAGUUAGAUAAUUUUAGAAUGCAAUGCUACAAUCUGCUAGAAAAUACUCAAUAGUGAUCCAUGAGGUUGUCUAAUGCUAAAUCACAGAAGUCUAGUCAACAAGUGGAGCAACAUAAUUCCCUAGUCAAUAACCACAAAUCCGCUCCUCGUCAAUUGAUCAAUGAUAUAACUAAAGAAAAAAGCAGCCAUGGAGUUUUUCAAUGAAUAAAAAGAAAAAAGUUAGCAUUGGCAGUUAUGAGUUAAAUAUCAUAGAGAAAAGAUGCAUUUGUCACAGAUCUUGGAUGCAAAGCUAGAACUUGGUUCAAGAACAAAGGAGUAGGUAUAAAAAACCAAGCACUAGUCAAUAACACACCAUAGUCGUUCAUUGUAGAUUAAGAUCUCAAAAAAAUAAACAAAUACAGCAACUAAAACAAUCUCAUCGAGAUGUUAAAAAGUAGAGAUCAGUGUGAAAUCUAACCUGUAAGGUAAAAAGCCUAUCCUCAAACUGCACUUCCUUUGUCAAAAAAUCAGCUCCAAUCGUCGCCUUAUACUGAUUGCUAAAUUUCUUAUUUACAUAUCUAAAAGUAAAAUGUAAAGGCAAACAAAACCAUAACUAAUAGUAAAAAACAAAACCAUAUCUAAAAGUAAAAAGUAAAUUUCUUAUUUACAUAUAAAAAAAACACUUCAUUUCUCUGCUUUUCUCAAUAAUUAGUAAAAAACGACUGCUGCAGGAUACUGAUUCAUCAAAGACGUCUUCCCUACCCUGCAAAUUAAAGAUCACAAAUCACAAUCAAAUCAUAAUCAUUCGACAACAAACGAGAGCAGUAAUUCGAAUAGAAAGAUCCGUACGGAAAACCUAGAAACGAAUUCUUUCAAAAUACAUGCGAAUAUAUACGCAUAAAAUUGAACGGACAGGCUUAUAAUAAUAGCAACAAGAAAAAAGAAAACACUAACCCGCUGUCGCCGAGGAUGAUGACCUUCAAGAGGGUUCUACGGCGAGAAGGCAUCGUAAAGAACACUAAGGAAUCAGCGGAUGUACAGAUCGAUAGAAAAAGGAGAAAAAAUUUUCUAUAUUGAAACCUAGUGAGAGGACUGGUGGACUUGUUUGUCUGGCAGGAAAACUGGCUGAAACUUUCUAGCGUGUUUUUCAAAGUAUUUUCUAGCUUUUUUUUCUCUCUCUCUCUCUUAUGCAAAAGCUGGAAUGACCUGUAAUUUGUGAAGGAAUUGAGGGAAAGUUUGGGUGACAGCUUUGUUUGAUUGUUUGUUUUGUUCAACAUGAGUGAACCUAUGAGUAACUGAUUUGGUGGUAGCUUGUUGAUUGGUCUGUUAUUUAUGGAAAAAGAUUUAAAGGUAACGUUAUCUUCCCUUGUUGCUCCUGUUAGACCAAAUUUAUCAAUAGAGCUGGGCGGGCCAGGGUGGAGCUGGGUUUUUCUAACCGACCCGAUUGAAAAUUUAUGUUGAUCCGAUCCGAUUUCUACAUUGUAUGACUUGCGGGGAAGAUUAUUAGGUUUUCUCGGUCGAAUUUUUUUGAUGAAACUAAUUUAACUGAUUAUAACCUACAAAAAUUUCAUCAGCGAAACUAAGUAAAAGGUGGUCACCACAAUAAUUUCAUCAGUACAAAAAAUAAACAUAUAUUUGUAAAAGGGAUAUAUUGAGUAUUCUUGAAAAAAGUUUUAGAUUCAUAACAUUUAUGGAUUUAUUCAUCUGUAAUGUUUAUAGUGUGAUAUACCUUAAUCCUGAGUGGAAGAUGGACUAAAUACGCAUGACUCAUACUUUAAUGUAAGUAAAAAAUUGAGUUCAAAUAGAUAAUGAACUGAAAACUAGUGUGUUGGGUAUACGACUUCUGUAGUAUGUAGCAUCAGUUACAAAAGUGAAAUUCAUAACCUAACUAAUGGGUAAAUGAUAUUCUCUCAUCGACAUUACAUGAUAGAUAAAAAGUAAAUGUGGUCAUGGGUCGUUUGUCUUUGUGACAAAUGACUUUAUUACUAUCUAAUAGUAAUUGACUUUUCAUUAAGGAAGAUAUAAUUGUUGCUAUAAGAUAAAAUAAGAUUUUAUUGGGGGAGUAGAUUUAUUCCAAAGAGAUUAAUAAUAUCUUAUGAGGGUAAUACACUUAUGACAAAGUCAUUGGAUGAGCAUUGAUUAGGUAGCUUUCAUAAUGAUAUAUAAUUAGAGAGAGUUCAGUUAUGAUUCUAUAGUGAAAUCACUUCGUGACUAAAUAUGUUUAUAAUUAAUAGGCAAAAAGUUAAAACUUAAUUAUAAAUUAUUUGAACCCUAAUUAAAUAUAUUCAAUCGGUCCCUCCGCUAGCUUAUUGAAACCAUAGACGAAUUGCACAUAAAACCAAAUAAACAAAAAUGAAUGAAAAUGACAAUGAUAAAAAAAUGAAUCACAUUAACAAUUGAAUGCGUUUUCUCCAUAUUUGAAUUAUUAUUUUUAUUAAUUAUAAUCAAAUAAUUGAAGUUUAAAUAUUAAAAGUGUGAAGGUUGGGUGUUAUCCAAAGGUGUUUCAAGGCAAAGUCCAAUCAAGCACCGAAGGAGAAUGUGAAACCAAGUGAGAAAAAGUCCAACCCCUCUCAUUUGAGAGUGCAACGAAAAGAGUGGUGAUAACACCGACAAUGUGGAAGUAAAGGAACCUAGAACGAUGGUUCCAAGAGUAGCGAUGCUCAAGCAAAGCCGAGGGUAGAAGACUUGACGCAAAGGCUCCAAAGGAGUCACUCACGAAGAAGGCAACGACCAAAGAAUCGAGAGCAAUGCUCCCUUAGCAACAAGGGCAUUGUUGGAUUGAGUGAGGAUGAAUGUCAUGCCUCAUGUUGACACAAUUUUUUUGGAUGAAAACAGGGUCGACUUGGAUUUUGAAAAUAGGAUGAAAACGGAAGUCGCCACCAAUCUUUUUUGAUAAGGUGUGAUCGGGUCACCUCGAAAAGUGGUUGUUUUUUAAUAAACGACUUAAUUUUUAUUAAAACAAAGAUUUUGGUCUAUGAAAUUCAAAAAAAGAAAAACGGGUUCGGAAGUCGGUUACGCACGAGGAAGGAUUAACACCCUCGAUACGCCCAAAAUUGGUACCUAGUUGAUUAAUCAGUGUCUUAGUGUCGAAAAUUAAAAAUUUGAAGAGUUUUAAAAAAUACGAUCCUUAAAAGAAACUCUGAUAACGUGAAUUGAAAUAUAAGAUUCUCUUGUUCCGAAGGAAUAUCACAUCCAGCACGUUAGGACACGACACUCUAAACCAUCGAAACCAAGAUCACCUUAUAGUUUAAUGAAACCAUACUUUGAAGCUUUAAGAGGAUAUUUGGCUAUUUAGUCGAACGAGAAAUCGAAGCCCAGCACGUUAGGGCACGUUUUCUCGAUUUUCCAAACGCGAAAUAUUGCCUCAUUUAGAAAAAUUUUCCUUUUGAUGUUUAGUGUCAAUGCUUGACAAAACAACAACGAAUACGACAAGGUGAGCAAAGUAAAGUGAGUAACAACAAUACAAUAGGCAAAAUGAAAUGACGAGGCGAUUACAUAAACAAAGCAUACAAAUAAAUAAAUAGAACUAACCUUUUAGAAAAAGCACAAGUGUACAUGAAUAAAUAAACAAACGCCAAAUAACAAUGAUGACAAUAAAUACAAUUAUGUAAAAAUGUAUAUGCAUGUAUAAUUUUAAGCCAUAAAAUAAGAAAUGCAUAUAAAUUAUAGAAUAUGAAAACAUAGAUAAAUAUAUACAUAUAUGUGUAAAAAAUAAUAUUAUAAAAAGGGUACGUAUACAUGUAUAAAAAAAAUAAAUGUAUUAACAAUGAAUAUAAUAGGGGUAAGAAAACAAGUAUAUACACAAUAUAUAUGUAACGUGGUACUAAGGAUAUAUAUAUAUACAAUACAGUAUUUAAAAUAAUAUUUACGUAAUACAAAAUAUAAUAUUAAAAGGUAUAUGUACAUACGUAAUAUAUAAAUACAUAUAUAAUAUAAUGUUAAAAUAUUUACAUAAUACUAAAAUAUUUAGGUAAUAUAUGCGUAUAUUGAAAACUAGUAAUAAUAUUACCGAGGUAUAUACAAAUAUAUCAAGUAUAUACGUAUUAUAAAUAUAUAAAUAUAUAACAAAGCAUAAACUAAUAAAAAUAAUAAGAAUAAUAAUAAUGAUAACAUUGGAAUAUAAAAGAAACAAACAUAAAAUUAAUAAAAUAUUAAAAUAAAGUGAAAUAAAAAUAUUAAAUAUGAGAAUAUAUAUAGGUAUACACGUACAUAAUAAAAAUAUAUACUAAUACAUAAUAAUAAUGGUAAUACUAAUAAUACUAAUAAUAUAAAAAUAACAAGGAUAUUUAAUAAAGAUAUAAAAAUCAACAAAAAAGGACUAAAAUUGAAUUAAAAACAAAGUUGUGGGGCCAAUUUGAAAUGAAAACAAAGAAAAGGGACUUAAUUGUACGCGCGUGAAACGUUGGGGGACCGAAACAACAAUUAUUCCUUUCCAUUAAAACGCAGCAUAUUGGCGGGGACUAAAUCGAAAAGCGCGAGAAAUUAUAGGGCCAAAUUGAAAACCAUAAAAAACUUAAUUGUGAAGCAUCAGAAAAGCGGAAGGACUGCGCGCAUAAAUAUCCCAUUCAAAUGAAAACACGCGGAUCCUCUAGCGGGUCGGGUCGGAUGGGUCGGGCAUGGCCAAAACGACGUCGUUUUGGGGCUUAAGUGUAGCCCCUAAAACGACGUCGUUUUGGAGGGCUAUAUAAGGCCUAAACUAACCAAAAAAAUCAUUUGGGGAGAGGGAAAGAAAAAAAAAAAGAAGAGAGAGGGAAGAGAGAAGGGAGAGAGAAGGGAGGGGGGAAGGGGAAUCCGGCCAGGGGGCUGGUCACCGGACGGCCACCGGAGGCUCGCCGGUGCCGGCGCCAGCCACCGCACGCGGUGGCCGAAAAAGGUAAAAAAAAAAUUUUUUGUUUUUUUUUAUUUUUCGAUUAUAUGUGUAUAUGUAUGCUAGAAAUGAGGAAGAAAAGAAAAAAAUGGAUUUAAGAAGAUAAUAGAGAAAAAUAAAAAAACAAAAUCACCUUCCGAUUUAUGUUUUCGUUCCUUGUUUCCCUUUUUUUGUAUUUUUCUCUGCUUUUUGUAUUAAAAUACCGAAAAAAAAAAGAGAAACCCCCCCCAAAAUACAACCGAUUCUUCCCUUUGAAAUCUCCAAAAAAAACAUAAAAAUCCCCCUAUUACAAAUGAUAGAUUUCGGCUUUUAAAGCCAAUAUAUUUUUUUCGUUCCUUUUGUUUAUUACUUCCCCCAUCAUUCGCAUGCUUUCUUUGCUGUUGUGUUUGUUCUUGUUGCAGGUGGUGGGCACGGUGGAGCAGGUGGGAGUGUCAGACGCGUGGGGCGUGGUGGCCAAGGCUGAGGAGGCCACGUAAGGCAUGCGGCGGCCAGCUAGGGUUUGCUGCUGAAAUUUUAAGUUUGUGGGCUGAUUAUUUUGGGCUUAAGGUUUGGGUAGUUGGGAUUGAAUUUUGGGUUUGUUGUAUUUUAUUUUAUUUGGACAAUGGGCCCAGUAAAUUUGGGCUUCUACAGCUGCCCCUCUUUGCUCGUUUUCGUAUAACGAGAACAGAGCAAAGACUAAGAAAGACCAAAUUUGCCUGGUCUCGCCGAGGCUUGACUUCUUUGGGUGCUUCUCUUCUUCAAGUAGCCUUAUUCCAGCCUGCUACAUCUUGUUGCUUUGAUCCACUCUACUGCAAUUUCAGAUACGCCUUGUAGCUUCAAUCUACUCUGCUACGACUCCAUGGGGAUGAGAUAUGUGUUUUUAGUCUGCUCCACUACUGCUUAGGGAGAUAAGACUGGAUGUGAUCUACUCCACUACUGCUUAGGGGAAUAAGAUCUGUGGUUCUGUCUGCUCCACUAUUGCUUAGGGAGAUAAGACUUGAUGCGAUCUGCUCCACUACUGCUUAGGGAGAUAAGAUCUGUGGUUCUGUCUGCUCCACUAUUGCUUAGGGAGGUAAGACUUGAUGCGAUCUGCUCCACUACUGCUUAGGGAGAUAAGAUCUGUGGUUCUGUCUGCUCCACUAUUGCUUAGGGAGAUAAGACUUGAUGCGAUCUGCUCCACUAUUGCUUAGGGAGAUAAGAUCUGGUUUCUGUCUGCUAGAGAAGUGAGAUUCACCGUUGUGGCUUCAAUCUGAUUAAUUGCAAUGUCGGGGAACAAGAUUCGCCGUUGUAGCUUCAAUCUGAUCCACUGCAUCGCCAAGAAAGUAAGAUUCGCCGUUGCGGCUUCAAUCUUUUAAAUUGCAAUAUCAAGGAAGCAAGAUUCGCCAUCGUAGCUUUAAUCUGCUGCACUGUACUGCCAGAGAAGUGAGAUUCGCCGUUGUGGCUUCAAUCUCUUUAAUUGCAAUGUCGGGGAACAAGAUUUGCCGUUGUAGCUUCAAUCUAUUCCACUGCUGUCCAGGGAGACAGAGUUAUCGGCUUCAAUGUACUCCACUGUAGUCAAUGAGGUAAAAUCUGCCAUCUUCGAUCUGCUUUGCCGCCAAAUACAGGAAGGCAAGAUCUGCAAUCCUCAAUCUAUUCCACUGCCAAAUACAGGGACAAGAUCUGCUUUCUUCGAUCUACUUCACCACCAGUAUGGGAAGACAAUAUCUGUAUCUUGGAUCCACUUCCUAUCAAUAUAGGAAGAUAGGACCUGCUAUCUUCGAUCUACUUCACGCCAAUACAUGAAGACAAGAUCUGCUUUCUGUGAUCUACUUCGCCACCAGUAUGGGAAGACAAGAUCUGUAUCUUGGAUCCACUUCCUAUCAAUAUAGGAAGAUAGGACCUGCUAUCUUCGAUCUACUUCACGCCAAUACAUGAAGACAAGAUCUGCUUUCUGCGAUCUGCUUCGCCACCAAUAUGGGAAGACAAGAUCUGCAUCUUCGAUCCACUUCCUACCAAUAUAGGAAGAUAGGAUCUGCUACCUUCGAUCUACUUCACGCCAAUACAUGAAGACAAGAUCUGCUUUCUGCGAUCUACUUCGCCACCAAUAUGGGAAGACAAGAUCUGCAUCUUCGAUCCACUUCCUACCAAUAUAGGAAGAUAGGAUCUGCUACCUUCGAUCUACUUCACGCCAAUACAUGAAGACAAGAUCUGCUUUCUUCGAUCUACUUCGCCACCAAUAUGGGAAGACAAGAUCUGCAUCUUCGAUCCACUUCCUACCAAUAUAGGAAGAUAGGAUCUGCUACCUUCGAUCUACUUCACGCCAAUACAUGAAGACAAGAUCUGCUUUCUUCGAUCUACUUCGCCACCAAUAUGGGAAGACAAGAUCUGCAUCUUUGAUCCACUUCCUACUAAUAUAGGAAGAUAGCACCUAUUUACGCCUAGUGUUUAGGAUGACAUGAUCAGAAUGAAUCAAAUGCUCCUAACUAGAUGUGUAUGUAUUAUAUUUGUAGAAUGUCAUGAGAAUGAUCCAUUUUUAAUGCUUAGGUUGUCAUUCCUCAUUGUUCAUCAAGGUUCUAUCACUGAUGCCUUCUUGUUCAGCCAGUACCUUUGACAGAAAACCUAAAGAAAUAGAUGCUAUUUAGACUAUCAUUUCUCAAAUGUUUCCAACCCUUAGGUUUGGUUAGUUCUAAACAAUAGUCCUGUUUCAGGUCCUCGUAUUAUUUAGAAACUUUCAGAGUAAUAUGCAGAACUCCUUCUGCAUGUGUAUUGUCAGUCCAUUAAUCGUUAUUUCAAUGAAAAAUGCUUGAAAAAGAUUAUCAAAAUGGACAAAAUGAAAUUUUGUUGAGAGCAAAGCUCUAAACAAACAAAUCAAGAUAGCAAAUUUUGCUGAGAUACGAGAGGAAUAAGAUGAAAAAGAUUAUCACAACGGAUAAGAUGAAAAUUUGCUAAGAGCAAAGCUCUAAAUGAACAAAUUAAUCAAGAUAGCAAAUUUUGCUAGAAUACAAAACGAGAAUAAAUUAAUCAAGAUGAUGUAUUUUGUCAAAAAUACAAAAAAUGAAUAAAAUGGAAAUAGGUGCCCAGAUAUCGUAGCAUGAGCUUCUCUGCCCCAAACUUCUUAAGGACCCUUUUGAACUUGAUAUGUGUUUAGAAGUCCUAGAAGGCUUUGUUGAUGCCCCAAGAUGUAGCAUAUUUCCUUCUUAUUAAUUCGGAGAAGACAAAACUACUCUAUGCCUCAUCUUUGAUCGAAAAUUUGAAUUGCCCAUUCCUGGGUUUUCAAUUCAAAACCCCUUUGGUCUCAAGGUGCCCUUUGCGGGUUUUCGCCUUGGCCUCUCCUUCUUUUUUUUUUUUUAGGAAAAGUACCUCUUCACUGAAUUCGAAUUCACAGGAUUGGGCAAGCUUUUGCCAUCCAUCCCAGUUAAAAUUAAUGCCCCUCCUAAAAAAGCCUUUUUUACUACAUAAGGUCCCUCCCAGUUUGGCAUCCACUUUCCUCUGAAGUCUUUUUGUAUGGGAAGGAUCUUCUUCAGUACCAAGUCCCCUUCAUGGAAGUUUCUAGGACGAACUUUCUUAUUGUAAGCUCACAUCAUUCGUUUCUGGUACAUUUGACCAUGACGGAUAGCUCUUAACCUCAUUUCUUCAAUCAAGUUCAGCUGAUCAUAUCGGGAUUGGACCCAUUCUGCUUCGUCUAACUUUAGUUCUGAAAAAACUCGAAGAGAGGGAAUUUCAACCUCAAUUGGUAGCACUGCCUCUAUUCCAUAAACCAAAGAGAAUGGUGUUGCCCCGGUAGAAGUCUUGACGGACGUUCGAUAAGUAUAGAGGGCGAAUGGCAACUUCUCGUGCCAAUCUCUAUAGGUCUCAGUCAUUUUCCC
RNAcentral lists this long non-coding RNA (24229 nucleotides) under Gossypium barbadense (sea-island cotton). RNAcentral's name for it is "long non-coding RNA (GBAR_LNC023260)". Lineage: Eukaryota; Viridiplantae; Streptophyta; Magnoliopsida; Malvales; Malvaceae. The record is from RNAcentral.